CAGCGCCACAAGUGGGAACCGAUUUUAUUGGGCCUAAAGCGUCCCUAGCUGGUUUAGCAAAUCUUUUGUGAAAUCAUCAGGCUCAACCUGAUGGCGCGCAGAAGACACUACUAAACUCGGAACCGGGAGGAGUCAGAGGAAUUCUGGGGGGAGCGGUAAAAUGUUAUAAUCCUCAGAGGACCACCAGUGGCGAAGGCGUCUGACUAGAACGGAUUCGACAGUGAGGGACCAAGCCCUGGGGCACAAACCGGAUUAGAUACCCGAGGAGUCC
Molecule: ribosomal RNA, 271 nt
Filed under: uncultured archaeon
Lineage: Archaea
Description: partial 16S ribosomal RNA
Rfam family: Archaeal small subunit ribosomal RNA
Source: RNAcentral